This 550-nucleotide ribosomal RNA is filed under the name uncultured bacterium. Its description in RNAcentral is "bacterial SSU rRNA". It matches the Rfam family "Bacterial small subunit ribosomal RNA", at positions 355 to 896 of the family's 1533-position model. The record is from RNAcentral.
UGGGGAAUAUUGCACAAUGGGCGCAAGCCUGAUGCAGCCAUGCCGCGUGUGUGAAGAAGGCCUUCGGGUUGUAAAGCACUUUCAGCGGGGAGGAAGGCGAUAUGGUUAAUAACCUUGUCGAUUGACGUUACCCGCAGAAGAAGCACCGGCUAACUCCGUGCCAGCAGCCGCGGUAAUACGGAGGGUGCAAGCGUUAAUCGGAAUUACUGGGCGUAAAGCGCACGCAGGCGGUCUGUCAAGUCGGAUGUGAAAUCCCCGGGCUCAACCUGGGAACUGCAUUCGAAACUGGCAGGCUAGAGUCUUGUAGAGGGGGGUAGAAUUCCAGGUGUAGCGGUGAAAUGCGUAGAGAUCUGGAGGAAUACCGGUGGCGAAGGCGGCCCCCUGGACAAAGACUGACGCUCAGGUGCGAAAGCGUGGGGAUCAAACAGGAUUAGAUACCCUGGUAGUCCACGCCGUAAACGAUGAGUGCUAAGUGUUAGGGGGUUUCCGCCCCUUAGUGCUGCAGCUAACGCAUUAAGCACUCCGCCUGGGGAGUACGACCGCAAGGUUG